AGUAAAGUAAGCUAAAUCUAAGCUCUUGGGCCCAUACCCCAAAAAUGUGGGUUAGAAUCCCUCCUUUGCCA
Molecule: transfer RNA, 71 nt
Filed under: Parupeneus spilurus (blackspot goatfish)
Lineage: Eukaryota; Metazoa; Chordata; Actinopteri; Syngnathiformes; Mullidae
Also listed under: 2 other names
Description: tRNA-Met
Rfam family: tRNA
About the family: Transfer RNA (tRNA) molecules are approximately 80 nucleotides in length. Their secondary structure includes four short double-helical elements and three loops (D, anti-codon, and T loops).
Source: RNAcentral